This 228-nucleotide unclassified non-coding RNA is filed under the name air metagenome. RNAcentral describes it as "partial contains small subunit ribosomal RNA, internal transcribed spacer 1, and 5.8S ribosomal RNA". The stretch from base 1 to 46 matches the Rfam family "Eukaryotic small subunit ribosomal RNA", at positions 1786 to 1831 of the family's 1831-position model. The record is from RNAcentral.
AAGUCGUAACAAGGUCUCCGUUGGUGAACCAGCGGAGGGAUCAUUACAGAGUUAUACAACUCCCAACCCCUGUGAACAUACCUACUGUUGCCUCGGCAGGACCUACCUGGGUGCUUCGGCGCCCGCGCGGCGGCCUGCCGGUGGACUACAAAACUCUUGCUGUAACGUGGCUUCUGAGUAACAAACAUAAAAUAGUUAAAACUUUCAACAACGGAUCUCUUGGUUCUG